GGUGUUGCCCUCGAGCCAACGAGAAUAUGAGCCGACCUCCGUGCAGGGUUUCGGGGCCACCUCCAGGCUGCAGGGACGGGUGUCACUCACCCCCCCGGUCUUCUCUCUGCCUUGGUGUCCUGGCUUCAGACUCCCCCUUCCUGUUGAGACCGGAGUGCCUCGGUCCGUCCCCAGCCUGAGUCUUCUCUUCGCCCUGCCAGGUGGGCUGAGGCCUGUCCUUGGUUCCUGCGGAGCUGGCCCUGGCUGGGCAGGGUGGGGCAUCACCACGUCCCUGGCCUUGCUGGAAGCACAGGGCCCUGCUGACCUGCAGCCGUCUGUGAGGCCCUCGUGGACGGGAGGGGAGGGGGCAGGUGGCCUGGAGAGAGGGGUUCAGGAACUGGGGCCUCGUGGCCUAGAGCGGCUCUGCAGGGGCAUUGGUGGGACCCUCACUCAGGCCUUCUCUCCGCUACCAGUGUGUCUAAGACUUGGAACCUGAGAACCCUGAGUCGUAGUGCCCUUGGUCCCGGGCCACACGCAGGCCCUGGUGGGACCACCCAGCCCGGUGGUGUCCAGAGACAGCGUGCUCACCCAGAGCCUUACUUGGGAGCCUCACUGAACGCCCGCUCCGGUUGAAGGUGGGGGGCUGAGGGCCUCCCCGGCUCAGCCCCGUGCGGCCCGGCGCUCCACCCCCAGGUUCUCCCCCGUCCAGUGGUGCAGGGCUCUCUCAGGUUGAACUCGCCUCUUUUGCACUGGAAGGCCCUUCCUUUGGCCUGAGUCCUUUUCCUGUUCACGCCUCAGUCCCAUGGACCCAGCCUUUGUCAGUAGCAGGUGCCUGAACAGCAGAUGGGUGGGGGGAUGCAGGAGGGGGCCUUGUCUUCCCAGCAGCAGUCUAGGAAUGGAUCGGGGGAGUAGGCGUCUUCUCCAAAGGCUUUCCCCACCUGGAGCAGGGGAGUGUGGGCUGCCCCAGCAGGGGCUCCUCGGUGGGGAGGGGAGCUGCCUGGGGGGUUGGGCCGGGAGGCAGCGGCUCAGAGGGGCAGCGUUCCAGCCUUGGUUGGGAGGAGUGUCCAUUCUUUGCCUUCCUGGAGCUUCCAGCCAGAGCUGAGCUGAGGGACUGGGUGGAGCCUGCAGCUGAGUCUGCCCGAGACAGAGACUGUUCAGAGGUUCCAGAAGCCUCUCAUUCCCGCCCCCCUCCACCCCCGCCUUUUAGUGGCGUGGAUCCCCAGAGGUGCCCUCUGUCCAGCCACCAUCCUGAGGCGGAGUGGCGAGCCUCACACCUGUAACAGGCCCCUGGCCAGCUGGGUCCCUCCCAGGCACUGCCGGGUGCUCUGGGGCCCAAUGGUGGGAGCGUGAGAGACCCCACACCAACACCCGGUGCCUUCUGCAGCCAGUGCCCAUCCGUGUGCACCCCGACACUUGGGAAUGCCCGCGGCUCCAGAGGAAGAAGCCCAGGGCCGGGGCCUCGUUUUCGGGGGCUCGGCUGCUUCUUGGCAGUCCUGCCGUUUCCAGCUCUGGCUGGCUGGCUGUAAAGCACUGAGGCCCGCCCCGGGCUGCCAACCCCUGAAAGCAGAACCCUGGCCUCCCUGGCCCCUGCAGCCUUCUCCACCAGCCCUCGUGGCCUGGGUUCUUCCUGCAGCCUUCCCCCCAGCCCACAUGGCCUGGGUUCUUCCUGCAGCCUUCCUGCCCCUUCUCAUCAGCCUUGUGGUUGUACAACCAGUGCUGUUGGUUUGGAAAGGUGACGCGUGAGGAGUGUGGCUCGUUACUCAGUGGAGAGGUAGAGUUUCUAUUUAUCCAGACCUGCAGUAGCAUUACCAAUCUGGUUCAAUUAAGGUGAUUUUUUGGUAAUUAUUAUUUUGGUGGGACAAUCUUUAAUUUUCUAAAGAUAGCACUAACAUCAGCUCAUUAGCCACCUGUGCCUGUCCCCGGCUCGGCCCGGCUGGAUGAAGUGGCUUCCCCACAGGCCCCCCCUUCGCAGUGGCUGCUUCCUGGGCCACAAGGGCACCCCGGCGCCUUCAGGCGAGCUCCUCAGCUGGUCACCUCCUUGCUUUGCCUUCCGAUGGGGCUCCUGAGGCUGAGGAGUGAAGAUGCCGCAGAGCCGGGCCACCCUAGGCUUCGUCGGGUGUGUUCUGGAAGCUGGCCUGCUGGGACCCUCCACCCUGGGGCCUGUGUCAGCCACCGGUCCUCUGCACCCUGGAAGCACACGGGCUCUGGGAAAGACAGCCCUGACCUUCGGUGUUCCAAGUCACUGUGUUCCCCAAGAAUUCUGGGCUGGCGGCCUGAUGGCCGUGCUGGAGAAGACCCUGAGCCUUUCCCCGUGGGGCACCCAGGAGGGCCUGGCCAGUAUGUGCAGCCUGUGGGUGGCCGGCUGACGUCCCUGCCGUGCUCAGGGUGUGUCACCUGGUGCCCAUCCAUACAGGUGUGUGGUGUAACAUGUAUGUGCUGUACAGACGUGUGGAGAGAGCCGCGCACCAGGGCCACGGAGAGGCGGAGCAGUUACCAAUGUUUCGUGUUUAUUUUUAAUCAAGACGUUUCCCGUUUUCCUAUAAAUUUGCUUAGUGUAAGCAAGUACAUAAGGACCCUCCUUUGGUGAAAUCCGGGUUCGAAUGAAUAUCUCAAGGCAGGAGAUGCAUCUAUUUUAAGAUGCUUUGGAGCAGACAGCUUUAGCCGUUCCCAAUCCUUAGCAAUGCCUUAGCUGGGACGCAUAGCUAAUACUUUAGAGAGGAUGACGGAUACAUAAGAGAGUAAAGAUAAGAGAAAAUGUCUAAAGCAUCUGGAAAGGUAAAAAAAAAAAUCUAUUUUUGUACAAAUGUAAUUUUAUCCCUCAUGUAUACUUGGAUAUGGCGGGGGGAGGGCUGGGACUGUUUUGUUUCUGCUUCUAGAGAUUGAUGUGAACGCUUCCUCGGAGAGACGCCAGGGCAGGCGGUGGCAGAGGAGAGGGCCCUUGUGACAGCGGCGAGGCUUGGGAGGAAACCACCACCGGGGCCAUCUUCCUUGGGGACGGGAGGGUGGGCCUGAGGCUUUCAAGGGUUUUCUUCCCCUUUUGAGUAAUUUUUAAAGCCUUGCUCUGUUGUGUCCUGUGGCCAGCCUUCCUGUGACUGUGACUGAAACGGUUUCCCCAUAGAUCGUCUGAAACAUGGCGGCCGCAGGUGCUGGGGCCUGAUGGACAGUGGCAUAGAAUUGUGGAAAAGAAACACCCAAAGGGAGACACGUGAGAGAAGAAACAAAAUAUGAGUGUUUAAAAUACAUCGCCAUUCAGUUCUUGUUU
Molecule: RNA transcript, 3241 nt
Organism: Sapajus apella (tufted capuchin)
Lineage: Eukaryota; Metazoa; Chordata; Mammalia; Primates; Cebidae
Exons: 1
Source: RefSeq, a predicted model, not a curated record